This 90-nucleotide transfer RNA is filed under the name Roseiterribacter gracilis. RNAcentral's name for it is "tRNA-Ser". It matches the Rfam family "tRNA". Rfam says of the family: Transfer RNA (tRNA) molecules are approximately 80 nucleotides in length. Their secondary structure includes four short double-helical elements and three loops (D, anti-codon, and T loops). Lineage: Bacteria; Pseudomonadati; Pseudomonadota; Alphaproteobacteria; Rhodospirillales; Roseiterribacteraceae. The record is from RNAcentral.
GGAAGGGUGGCCGAGUGGUUUAAGGCUCUAGUCUUGAAAACUAGCGAGCUCGAAAGGGCUCCGUGGGUUCGAAUCCCACCCCUUCCGCCA